Molecule: long non-coding RNA, 1760 nt
Organism: Zonotrichia leucophrys gambelii
Lineage: Eukaryota; Metazoa; Chordata; Aves; Passeriformes; Passerellidae
Exons: 3
Source: RefSeq, a predicted model, not a curated record
UUCCUUAGUCAUCUGCAAUUAAAGCCUGCACUAAGUUCCAAAACCGAAGUACAGUGUGUAAAUGCCUAGUUGACGACAUUGGAUGAUCUGGGUCUGAACAACAUCAUUAUUGGAGAGCUGCUAAGUGAUUAAGCUGUGGCAAACAUAACAUGAAGGCUACCCUAGCACAUUGAGCAGGAAAAGAUGAGACAAACAGUCCACAGGACUGAGAACAGUUGCUUUCCUAGGAGAUGAUUAAUGGAAACUCAGAGUCACACAAAGUUGUUAAAGAAACUGUUCUUAAGAAUAAUCCUAAAAUCCAUCUACUUAAAAGGCAUGGGAUGAAAAUUCUUCCUAAUAUUUCUAAAGCCAAACAUUUCCUCAUACCACAUGACUCCAAAGGAACAAGAGCACAGCUGGCUAAAUGAAGUCCUGAGCGACAGCUGGCGUGCAACUUCCCCUCCCCUCAGAAGACCCAGCACCUCCUCUGCAACAAUACAUGGAAUCCUUCCAAUCUGCUCCGGCACACGGUCCCACCAUCCUGCCUGCCCGUGCCCAGCUCUGACCUCCCGGUUUGCACGGCAGCGUGUCGUGGCUGAGACUGCCCAGCCAGCUGGCUGGGGUGAAUCAACAAGAUGAGAUUGACAAAACUUUUUUCCCCGACAUAUUUAGAAUAUUUCACUGGGGAGAAAUCUCCUGAGAUUCAACAUCUGAUUCUUCAGGCUGUCCUAGGAGAUUAAAAUAAAGGAGAAGGCAGCAUUAAGUCAUGCAACUGUGAUUGAAAACAAACACAAUGGGUCAGAUUCCAUCCUCGAUUGCAGCCACACUGAAGUGUCUGUGGUUAAAUGAGAGUAAGUGAGGACAGAGUUUGACCUGGUGCCUUGAAACUAAAAUAAUAUAAAUGAUAGACAAGGACAAAAUUAUCUGCAAAGCUGCGGAGUUUUCCAUCAGAGGAACCAUGAGAAAGACAAAGAUCCUGUAUCAAGGGGGGCUUAAUUCCUCAAGGAUGAAGCAAGAUAAAAAAUAAUUAUUUGCAAAAAUAGUUUUGGCGGAUUUCUGUCAUCUGACAGCUAUGCAUACUGUGUGGCAAAUGAUUAAAUAAACAGAUUGCUGCUCAAGAAACUUGAUUUCAAUUUGAGAUGCCAAAGCCACUAGAAUAAUCUCUACCCACUGAAAGAAAAUUACUUUGUUGCACUGUGGCCACACAGAAGGCCCCAUUCAUCAGCAGGGUUUGUCUGCAAGAUGGCUUUUUUGUGGAAGAAGCAUCUUCCACACCUGCCUAGUACAGACAACACUGAGCUAACUGAAGGCAUGCAGACCUCUGCUUACUCAAAGGGGUUUUGUGCUGAUGAAAUGAGAAGAAAUUUCAUGCAUGCUUUUUUCUCUCCAAUGAUUCUGCCCUCUGUCCUGAAGCUCUGACAGUAGUUGGAUUCUAAAGAUCCUGCCUUCUGCAUACACAAAAAAUGUUUUAUAGCAAUCUUUCACAACAAUCCGCCCCAGAGAGGUGUGCAAAUCACACAUGCUGAUGCCAAGAAGUGGAAACCAUAGAAACAACAUGAAAAUGUAUUUGUUCUUGUCUUACCUGUGACCUGAGUGGGCCCCUCCUGAAGCUCCUGUGCAGUCUCCUGCCUGUUUAUGUUCAUGCCCAUCUGUUGGCAUGGCACUGCACCCACUCACCAGACAGUCCAUCCUGUUCACUGCAGCUGAUGAAGGAUCUGAACUGGCAGCCUGCAUGGCUUUAUAAAAGGCUGUGAUUUAGUGCAUGUCCGCACAUGGAGUGU